RNAcentral lists this ribosomal RNA (627 nucleotides) under fungal endophyte. RNAcentral's name for it is "eukaryotic LSU rRNA". The stretch from base 179 to 332 matches the Rfam family "5.8S ribosomal RNA". Lineage: Eukaryota; Fungi. The record is from RNAcentral.
UAAAGAGUUCUAUAACUCCCAAACCCAUGUGAACAUACCUAACGUUGCCUCGGCAGGUCGCACCUACCUUGUAGCACCCUACCCUGUAGGGCCUACCCGGGAGGUGCGGGUAAGCCUGCCGGCGGCCCACCAAACUCUGUUUGAUAUUGAAUUCUGAACCUAUAACUAAAUAAGUUAAAACUUUCAACAACGGAUCUCUUGGUUCUGGCAUCGAUGAAGAACGCAGCGAAAUGCGAUAAGUAAUGUGAAUUGCAGAAUUCAGUGAAUCAUCGAAUCUUUGAACGCAUAUUGCGCCCAUUAGUAUUCUAGUGGGCAGGACCGUUCGAGCGUCAUUUCAACCCUUAAGCCUUCGUUGCUUAGUGUUGGGAGCCUACGGCAACGUAGCUCCUCAAAGUUAGUGGCGGAGUUGGUUCACACUCUAGACGUAGUAAUUUUUUAUCUCGCCUAUUAGUUGGACUAAUCCCCUGCCGUAAAACCCCCAAUUUAUAUCAAGGUUGACCUCGAAUCGGUUCAGACAAACUCGCUAAAUUGAAGCAUCUUAGUCAGCGAAGGAAAAGAAACCAACAGGGAUUGCCCUAGUAACGGCGAGUGAAGCGGCAGCAGCUCAAAUUUGAAAUCUGGCCCUCG